AUUGAACGCUGGCGGAAUGCUUUACACAUGCAAGUCGAACGGUAGAGGGGGCAACCCCUCGAGAGUGGCGAACGGGUGAGUAAUAUAUCGGAACGUGCCCAGUCGUGGGGGAUAACGUAGCGAAAGUUACGCUAAUACCGCAUACGAUCUAAGGAUGUAAGCGGGGGAUCGCAAGACCUCGCGCGAUUGGAGCGGCCGAUAUCAGAUUAGGUAGUUGGUGGGGUAAAGGCUCACCAAGCCAACGAUCUGUAGCUGGUCUGAGAGGACGACCAGCCACACUGGAACUGAGACACGGUCCAGACUCCUACGGGAGGCAGCAGUGGGGAAUUUUGGACAAUGGACGCAAGUCUGAUCCAGCCAUUCCGCGUGCAGGAUGAAGGCCCUCGGGUUGUAAACUGCCUUUGUACGGAACGAAAAGGUCUCUCUUAAUACGGGGGGCUCAUGACGGUACCGUAAGAAUAAGCACCGGCUAACUACGUGCCAGCCGCCGCAGUAA
Molecule: ribosomal RNA, 496 nt
Filed under: uncultured bacterium
Lineage: Bacteria
Description: partial 16S ribosomal RNA
Rfam family: Bacterial small subunit ribosomal RNA
Source: RNAcentral